Molecule: ribosomal RNA, 374 nt
Filed under: uncultured prokaryote
Description: bacterial SSU rRNA
Rfam family: Bacterial small subunit ribosomal RNA
Source: RNAcentral
UACGGAGGGUGCGAGCGUUAAUCGGAAUUACUGGGCGUAAAGGGUGCGUAGGUGGUUGUAUAAGUUAUCUGUGAAAUCCCUGGGCUUAACCUGGGCAGGUCAGAUAAGACUGUAUGACUCGAGUAUGGGAGAGGGUAGUGGAAUUUCCGGUGUAGCGGUGAAAUGCGUAGAGAUCGGAAGGAACACCAGUGGCGAAGGCGGCUACCUGGCCUAAUACUGACACUGAGGCACGAAAGCGUGGGGAGCAAACAGGAUUAGAUACCCUGGUAGUCCACGCUGUAAACGAUGUCAACUAGCUGUUGGGUACAUUAAAGUACUUAGUGGCGCAGCAAACGCGAUAAGUUGACCGCCUGGGGAGUACGAUCGCAAGAUUA